UACGUAGGGGGCAAGCGUUGUCCGGAAUUAUUGGGCGUAAAGAGCGUGUAGGCGGCCUGACAGGUCUGCUGUGAAAACUCGAGGCUCAACCUCGAGAUGUCGGCGGAAACCGUCUGGCUAGAGUCCGGAAGAGGAGAGUGGAAUUCCUGGUGUAGCGGUGAAAUGCGCAGAUAUCAGGAAGAACACCUAUGGCGAAGGCAGCUCUCUGGGACGGUACUGACGCUGAGACGCGAAAGCGUGGGGAGCGAACAGG
This 253-nucleotide ribosomal RNA is filed under the name uncultured bacterium. Its description in RNAcentral is "partial 16S ribosomal RNA". It matches the Rfam family "Bacterial small subunit ribosomal RNA", at positions 524 to 776 of the family's 1533-position model. The record is from RNAcentral.